AUGGGCACCAUAACAUUUAAUGUCAUUCAGAUAUUUUUGAUAUGGGUUGAAUCACUGUGGAAUUUAUACAAGAAAAUCUUUAGUGAUGGAACAAAACUUUUUGUCAUAGAUAAAAACCGUGCUGCAGACCUGUCCCCCACGCCCACUAUUUUUCUUCCUUCAAAUGCUGAAAUCAACCUCGAAAGGGCUGGAACAUAUCUUUGUCUCCUGGAGAAAUUUUUUCCUGGUGUUAUUAAAGUUUAUUGGAAAGAAAAGAAUGACAAGAAAGUUCUGCCAUCCCAGCAGGGAAACACCAUGAAGACUAAUGACACAUACAUGCAGUUCAGCUGGCUGACCGUGACCGAAAACUCCAUGGAUAAAGAACACGUAUGUGUCGUCACACACGAGACAGGCAAGGGAAGAAAAAAUCAAGAGACUCUUUUUCCUUCAAUGAAUGAAGUCGUCACCUCAGCUGUCCCUACUACUGAGUCUCCCAAUGAUUGUUUGAAGGAGGAUAGUGAAGUCCUUGAUACUGAUUCUACAGGAGCUUGUGCAAGAGAUGAAAGUGAAGUCACUGCUGUGAAUUCUACAAAUGGUUGUCUGAAAGAUGAAAGCAACACCCUGCAGCUGCAGCUCCUGAGCACCUCUGCCUUUUACACCUACUUCCUCCUUCUCCUCAAGAGUGCCAUCUACUUUGUCAUCACCGCCUUCUAUGUGUGUAGGAGAACAGCCCUCUGUGGAGAUGGGAAGAGCUCGUGACAGAGGGGGCCACAAAGGGGUCCCCUUUCCCUCAUCAUCUCUUGUCCUGAAAAUUCUCUGCUGAGGAUCUUGCUGGGCUUCCUUUCUGGGUUUGGGUUGCUUCAGAUAAUGUGUAUAUUUUUCUAUUAUUGGGUAAGGGUUUUUCAAACCAUUGUGCAAGCAGACAGUUUUACUCUGCAACAGGGAAUUCUGCCAUUACUCAGGGCAGGCUUGUCCAGGGGAGCCUCUCCCACCUCUGUCCCCACAGCCUCAUCAGCUCCUCCCGCCCCCGAGCCCUCCGCCUUCUGAGCGCACACAGAGGACAGCUCCCAUCUCCUCCCUCAGCGCCUCCAUCCAGACCACGGCCCCGACCCUCCCUGCCCACACCCUGGAGCCGCCAGCUUGCUACUUAAAUGCUGUAUGUAGAUUUUCAUAAAAGUCACAAAAAAUUUAAAAAUAUA
Non-coding RNA from Hippopotamus amphibius kiboko, 1178 nucleotides. Lineage: Eukaryota; Metazoa; Chordata; Mammalia; Artiodactyla; Hippopotamidae. The record is from the annotation of a RefSeq genome assembly.